GACGAACGCUGGCGGCGUGCUUAACACAUGCAAGUCGAACGAUGACGACCGAGCUUGCUCGGUCUGAUUAGUGGCGAACGGGUGAGUAACACGUGAGCAACCUGCCCUUCACUCUGGGAUAACCUCGGGAAAUCGGGGCUAAUACCGGAUAUGAGCUCCUGUCGCAUGGCGGGUGUUGGAAAGUUUUUCGGUGAAGGAUGGGCUCGCGGCCUGUCAGUUUGUUGGUGAGGUAGUGGCUCACCAAGGCGAUGACGGGUAGCCGGCCUGAGAGGGCGACCGGCCACACUGGGACUGAGACACGGCCCAGACUCCUACGGGAGGCAGCAGUGGGGAAUAUUGCACAAUGGGCGAAAGCCUGAUGCAGCGACGCCGCGUGAGGGAUGACGGCCUUCGGGUUGUAAACCUCUUUCAGCAGGGAAGAAGCGAAAGUGACGGUACCUGCAGAAGAAGCGCCGGCUAACUACGUG
Molecule: ribosomal RNA, 467 nt
Filed under: uncultured bacterium
Lineage: Bacteria
Description: partial 16S ribosomal RNA
Rfam family: Bacterial small subunit ribosomal RNA
Source: RNAcentral